CACGUAGGGUGCGAGCGUUGUCCGGAAUUAUUGGGCGUAAAGAGCUCGUAGGCGGUCUGUCACGUCGGCUGUGAAAACCCGGGGCUCAACCCCGGGCCUGCAGUCGAUACGGGCAGACUAGAGUGCGGUAGGGGAGACUGGAAUUCCUGGUGUAGCGGUGAAAUGCGCAGAUAUCAGGAGGAACACCGGUGGCGAAGGCGGGUCUCUGGGCCGUAACUGACGCUGAGGAGCGAAAGCGUGGGGAGCGAACAGG
This 253-nucleotide ribosomal RNA is filed under the name uncultured bacterium. RNAcentral's name for it is "partial 16S ribosomal RNA". It matches the Rfam family "Bacterial small subunit ribosomal RNA", at positions 524 to 776 of the family's 1533-position model. The record is from RNAcentral.